AUUGAAGAGCCAAAGAAUGUUAUAUUGGAUUAUAGAGAAAAGAUUGAGAAACCGAACGUUGCAAGAAACAUGGAUUACAUGUUAAAUCAAGUGUAAUAAUUGAGCUUCCAAAAGGCUGGGAACCUGGCAUUCAAUAGGGAGCAGAUGUUUGGGAUGAGAAAUGGGAUAAGUUUGAAGAUGAAGGAUUUGUGAAUGACCUCACAAUUGAUGUGAAAAAUGCACCUGUUAGUCCAUCUCAAUCAGCUUCUGUUCAGAGGGAAAUGCUUUCCCCCAAUGGUUCCCUUGAGAGUGAAUCAAUAUUCUCCCACAAGGAAGAUGAAUAUGCAAGAAGCUCUCAUUUCAGUCCAAGCUGGAACAACUGCUGUACAAAGUCCACCUCAAGAAUUUUCAGACGUUCAUUAUGGUAAAGGUUCAGAAGCAGAUGCAGAAACUCAUAGAAAAGUGGAUGUACAGUGUGAUGCAAUUGCCUCUUGAGGGACACUGUUAAGCACUCUAUGAUGACAUUGGUUUUUAUAGUGCUGUGUCAUUGUUGUAAAUAUUUUCAGACUAUUUUAUAGAUUCAUAAUGUCAAUUCUCGUUUCGUGUAACUCUCAUGUCAUCCUUCUUCUUCAGGAUUUUAAAUCUGAGAAGCACAUAGAUUUCUUUGGUUAGAACGGGAUCUCCUCAUGCAUAUGGCACCUUUCAGAGAAGAAGCUCCUCUACUUUUGAUGAUUCUGUUCUAGCACUCCACUUUCUAGGUUUGGCAACUUACCACAAGGUACAGCGAGGCAUGGGAUCACUACUUGGACUAUUUCUCAAAGUUUGAUUCCUUCCGCACGCAUGAUGCUGGAUUUUCUUCCCAGCUUGAGAGGCUCACACGAUUCGACUCCAUAAAUUGCUCAAAAGACUUAGGCCACAAUUCCCUAUUGAGGUUCGACUCCAUGUGCAACUCAGUGAUUUUGGUCAGAAUUGCGAGACUCCAUGUGCAACUCAGUGAUUUUGGUCAGAAUUGCGAGAGGUUGUUGAGGUUUGACUCCUUAAACAACACAAAAGACUUUGGUGCGGCCUCAAGCACCUUCAGUGGAUGUGCCUUCUCAUUCAACGUCCGUCCAUUGAAGGUGUCGUCUCCUAAGAAAUGUUAUGAUUAUUGGAAUGCAUAUUCUAGUUGGUGAAUUUAUGUUAUUGCAUUUCCAGAUUUUGGGUGGUAGCAUUAGGGGAUUGAUAAAUCACGGGGUAGCUAUUAUUAUGAUUUGUGUGUAAAAGCAACACAUUAGUAGCCACAUGUACAACCAUGUAGUACUACGGAUGACACUGCAGUAUGAGUCAUUUGCUCUAGAAUAUUCAGCUCAAACAAAUUCUUGUUGCAUAGAACAGUGUGAGGCAAUACGUGUAUAGUGUUUAUUGGACCAUUUUGUAUUUUGUAAAUACCCCAAUUGAAUUAUAUAUGCUAUAGCUGCAAUCUUCAUUUCA
This is a long non-coding RNA of Humulus lupulus (European hop), 1449 nucleotides long. RefSeq lists it as uncharacterized. Lineage: Eukaryota; Viridiplantae; Streptophyta; Magnoliopsida; Rosales; Cannabaceae. The record is from RefSeq and is a predicted model, not a curated record. The transcript is spliced from 4 exons.